UGGGGAAUAUUGGACAAUGGGCGAAAGCCUGAUCCAGCCAUGCCGCGUGUGUGAAGAAGGUCUUCGGAUUGUAAAGCACUUUAAGUUGGGAGGAAGGGCAGUAAGCGAAUACCUUGCUGUUUUGACGUUACCGACAGAAUAAGCACCGGCUAACUCUGUGCCAGCAGCCGCAGUAAUACAGAGGGUGCAAGCGUUAAUCGGAAUUACUGGGCGUAAAGCGCGCGUAGGUGGUUCGUUAAGUUGAAUGUGAAAGCCCCGGGCUCAACCUGGGAACUGCAUCCAAGUCUGGCGGGCUAGAGUAGGGCAGAGGGUGGUGGAAUUUCCUGUGUAGCGGUGAAAUGCGUAGAUAUAGGAAGGAACACCAGUGGCGAAGGCGACCACCUGGGCUCAUACUGACACUGAGGUGCGAAAGCGUGGGGAGCAAACAGG
RNAcentral lists this ribosomal RNA (429 nucleotides) under Pseudomonadota bacterium. Its description in RNAcentral is "Proteobacteria bacterium partial 16S ribosomal RNA". It matches the Rfam family "Bacterial small subunit ribosomal RNA", at positions 355 to 776 of the family's 1533-position model. The record is from RNAcentral. Lineage: Bacteria; Pseudomonadati; Pseudomonadota.